AGAGUUUGAUCCUGGCUCAGAUUGAACGCUGGCGGUAUGCUUUACACAUGCAAGUCGAACGGGCUUGGGGGCUUGCUCCUAGGUUAGUGGCGAACGGGUGAGUAAUAUAUCGGAACAUAUCCGGAAGUGGGGGAUAACGUAGCGAAAGUUACGCUAAUACCGCAUAUGCCCUGAGGGGGAAAGGGGGGGAUCGCAAGACCUCUCGCUUUCGGAGUGGCCGAUACCGGAUUAGCUAGAUGGUGAGGUAAAGGCUCACCAUGGCGACGAUCCGAGCGGGUCUGAGAGGACGACCCGCCACACUGAACUGAGACACGUC
RNAcentral lists this ribosomal RNA (316 nucleotides) under uncultured beta proteobacterium. RNAcentral describes it as "bacterial SSU rRNA". It matches the Rfam family "Bacterial small subunit ribosomal RNA", at positions 8 to 332 of the family's 1533-position model. Lineage: Bacteria; Pseudomonadati; Pseudomonadota; Betaproteobacteria. The record is from RNAcentral.